RNAcentral lists this small RNA (551 nucleotides) under Pan troglodytes (chimpanzee). RNAcentral's name for it is "retained intron". The record is from RNAcentral. Lineage: Eukaryota; Metazoa; Chordata; Mammalia; Primates; Hominidae.
AGGCAGGCAGGCGCGCUCGAGCGAGGUAGGAGCGAUGUGGCCUGGGAACGCCUGGCGCGCCGCACUCUUCUGGGUGCCCCGCGGCCGCCGCGCACAGUCAGCGCUGGCGCAGCUGCGUGGCAUUCUGGAGGGAGAGCUGGAAGGCAUCCGCGGAGCUGGCACUUGGAAGAGUGAGCGGGUCAUCACGUCCCGUCAGGGGCCGCACAUCCGCGUGGACGGCGUCUCCGGAGGAAUCCUUAACUUCUGUGCCAACAACUACCUGGGCCUGAGCAGCCACCCUGAGGUGAUCCAGGCAGGUCUGCAGGCUCUGGAGCAGUUUGGAGCUGGCCUCAGCUCUGUCCGCUUUAUCUGUGGAACCCAGAGCAUCCACAAGAAUCUAGAAGCAAAAAUAGCCCGCUUCCACCAGCGGGAGGAUGCCAUCCUCUAUCCCAGCUGUUUUGACGCCAACGCCGGCCUCUUUGAGGUGUGUGGAAGCUGUCCUGCGGGUGAGGGUUGGUGGGGCCUGUUAGGCUGAGGAAGGCUUGGGGGUGGGCAGUCGGGAGAACCUAGCA